AGAAAUUUAAGUUAACAGACUAAAG
Molecule: transfer RNA, 25 nt
Filed under: Plethodon cinereus (red-backed salamander)
Lineage: Eukaryota; Metazoa; Chordata; Amphibia; Caudata; Plethodontidae
Description: partial tRNA-Trp
Source: RNAcentral